This 252-nucleotide ribosomal RNA is filed under the name uncultured bacterium. RNAcentral's name for it is "partial 16S ribosomal RNA". It matches the Rfam family "Bacterial small subunit ribosomal RNA", at positions 524 to 776 of the family's 1533-position model. The record is from RNAcentral.
UACGAAGGGGGCUAGCGUUGCUCGGAAUUACUGGGCGUAAAGCGCACGUAGGCGGAUUGUUAAGUCGGGGUGAAAUCCUGGAGCUCAACUCCAGAACUGCCUUCGAAACUGGCGAUCUUGAGUCCGGGAGAGGUGAGUGGAACUGCGAGUGUAGAGGUGAAAUUCGUAGAUAUUCGCAAGAACACCAGUGGCGAAGGCGGCUCACUGGCCCGGUACUGACGCUGAGGUGCGAAAGCGUGGGGAGCAAACAGG